Molecule: ribosomal RNA, 447 nt
Filed under: uncultured bacterium
Lineage: Bacteria
Description: bacterial SSU rRNA
Rfam family: Bacterial small subunit ribosomal RNA
Source: RNAcentral
CCCAGACUCCUACGGGAGGCAGCAGUGGGGGAUAUUGCACAAUGGGGGGAACCCUGAUGCAGCGACGCCGCGUGGGUGAAGGAGCGUUUCGGCGCGUAAAGCCCUAUCGGCAGGGAAGAAGGAGGACGGUACCUGACUAAGAAGCCCCGGCUAACUACGUGCCAGCAGCCGCGGUAAUACGUAGGGGGCAAGCGUUAUCCGGAUUUACUGGGUGUAAAGGGGGCGCAGACGGCAGCGCAAGCCAGGAGUGAAAGCCCGGGGCCCAACCCCGGGACUGCUCUUGGAACUGCGCGGCUGGAGUGCAGGAGGGGCAGGCGGAAUUCCUGGUGUAGCGGUGAAAUGCGUAGAUAUCAGGAGGAACACCGGUGGCGAAGGCGGCCUGCUGGACUGCGACUGACGUUGAGGCUCGAAAGCGUGGGGAGCAAACAGGAUUAGAUACCCGAGUAC